GUUUGGGUGGUGUAGUUGGUUAUCACGUUAGUCUCACACACUAAAGGUCCCCAGUUCGAACCUGGGCUUAGACA
Molecule: transfer RNA, 74 nt
Filed under: Lupinus albus (white lupine)
Lineage: Eukaryota; Viridiplantae; Streptophyta; Magnoliopsida; Fabales; Fabaceae
Also listed under: 1 other name
Rfam family: tRNA
About the family: Transfer RNA (tRNA) molecules are approximately 80 nucleotides in length.
Source: Rfam by way of RNAcentral